This 163-nucleotide ribosomal RNA is filed under the name uncultured bacterium. RNAcentral's name for it is "partial 16S ribosomal RNA". It matches the Rfam family "Bacterial small subunit ribosomal RNA", at positions 355 to 511 of the family's 1533-position model. The record is from RNAcentral.
UAGGGAAUCUUCACAAUGGGCGCAAGCCUGAUGGAGCAACACCGCGUGAGUGAAGAAGGGUUUCGGCUCGUAAAGCUCUGUUGUUAAAGAAGAACACGUAUGAGAGUAACUGUUCAUACGUUGACGGUAUUUAACCAGAAAGUCACGGCUAACUACGUGCCAG